Molecule: long non-coding RNA, 683 nt
Filed under: Heterocephalus glaber (naked mole-rat)
Lineage: Eukaryota; Metazoa; Chordata; Mammalia; Rodentia; Bathyergidae
Description: lncRNA (ENSHGLG00000047691.1)
Source: RNAcentral
AUAUUUUAGUAUUUUGAGUGCUGGGGAUGGAACCAGACCUCAUGCAUGCUAAGCAAGCACUCUGCCACUGAGCUACAUUCCCAGCCUUUUUAAAAAACAGUUUUAUUUUGAGACAGGGUCUCACUAGUUGCCCAGGCCGGGCUCAAACUCACGAUCCUCCUGCUCCAGCUUCCUGAGAAGCUAGGAUUACAGAUGUGCGUCACCGUGCCUGACUUAAAACUCUUCUGUGGUUUCCUGGUAACGCCUCACUGUGGCCUGUGCAGUCCCAUGAAAUGGAUCUUCGUCACCUCCCUGUGUUUGCCUUCUCUCAUUGGCUCACCUGUACCAGUGACGUGGCCUCCUGCUGUCCCCAACACAGGAGGGUUUUUCUCAGGAGAAAGCAGUGAGCACGAAGACCCGUCAGUCCUAGUAGGAUGCCCUUCAGAAUCUAUCCCUGCAAAUUCUGCAUGUGGAUCAUAGGAAGUUAAGCCCACAGUCAUUCCCAGCAUAUGACCCAGAAGCAGCAUCCUCAGCAAGAUCUUGAGGAUGGUUGCCUUAUAACAAGGACAUAGAGAUGAGGCUGCAGGUGCCCAUGGAAAACUACAAGUGAUAUGAAGCUCAGCAUCUCGACCUGCAUGUUAUAACCAUCUCUUUUAUUACUUUAAAACUUUGGGUCAGAUCUGUGCUUAGCUCUGCACAUAGAC